GUUAUCUUAGUAUAUAUAAGUACAGCUAUUUUCCACAUAGUAAGGUUAACAAAGAUGUUAAAGAUAAUA
Liolophura sinensis is the source of this 69-nucleotide non-coding RNA. The record is from the annotation of a RefSeq genome assembly. NCBI's taxonomy places the organism in Eukaryota, Metazoa, Mollusca, Polyplacophora, Chitonida, Chitonidae.